GACAGAGUUCUCUAAACCUACUUCAGUUGUAGCAAGUUCCUGAUUCAUCCACUCAGAAGCCCAAUGAGCACUGGUUGACUCAAUCAAGUGUUAACCCUAGGAGAACAAGCAAAUAAGUAGGAACUGGGUCAUACAGGGUAAACACCAGAGAUGAUAAGGAUAUAUAUAUAUAUAUAUAUAUAUAUAUAUAUAUAUAUAUGUAUAUGUAUAUAUAUAUACAUAUUAAUUUUUGUUAUUGGUUAGAGACAAUUUUGGAAAGCAAGAGAAUCAUCUUUUUUUAAAAAAGAGAGAAGAAGAAGAAGAAAAGAUAGUAUUAACGUGAGUUCUAGAGAAGGUUAGUGGGUUGCGGUUCAAAAUUCCGUGUUUGUGCCCCCUUUUAUAUGUUUCUACUGUUGAUGCCAUAUUAUUAUGAAAUGAUUUGUUGCAUAGUGUCCUUAUUUGUAUGAACAUUUGUAUGCACGUUAUAUUGUAAUAGCUUUGCCUGUAUUUAUUGCAAGACCACCAGCUCCUGGAGGCUGAGAUACAGAGUAAUCAAAUGGGGUGUUCGUGGUGACUUGGAUACACCAAUUAGAAAUUAAAUAAGCAUAUAUAUAUAUAAACAUAGCCGGUUACAUAUAUAUUUAUAAUGUGUCUUUUUAUUAACCAUUUGUACAAGAAAUGUCACUUCCCACGCAGUUACUUUACCCUUCACUUGCAGUGACCUUUAAGGCAGCACUGUUUAGCACUUUGAUAUGAAAUUUUUGCUUAUGUUUUGCUAAAUUCUAAUAAUGUUUGAAGAUUUUAAGGUCUAAAAGUCUUUAUAUUAUAUACUCUGUAUCAAGUCAAGAUCCCUUUGGCCGUUUUGCUAAGACUCAAAAACUUUGAAUGUCAAACUGAUGUCACAGUAGCUUUUGUUAGCUUUUAAUCAUUUUUGCUUUAGUUUUUUUUUUAAAAAAAAUAACAAACUAUACUGUUUAUAUUGUCAUUAAAUUAUACAAUCAAACAAAUGCCAAAUGAAUUGCCUAAUUGCUGCAAAGUGUAACCCAGAUAACAAAUCAUAUUCUCUCCUCUUUUUGCAACUCAUUCAGAUGUUUGAUCUUGUGUUUUGUUUGUAUAAAGAUUGUAUGAACUAUAUCACCUUCCUAUCAAGGUGACAGGGCUUGAGAUGUUAAGAUUUUUGAACUUCAGACUUGGAAGGGGCCUGGCUCAUCAUCUGGUCAGAUCUAUUAAAAUUCACAAAGGAGAAAAGUGGGGGCCCGUUGCAGGGCAAACAGCUAGCAACAGGAUAAAGGCUCAGACUUAAUUCACCUUCCCUUAGUCUCCCCCACAUCUUACUGCAUCUGUAGGAAAAUAAACUUUUAAACAUAGUCACGCAUACUAACACUUUACCAGCAGACAGCCUUGAAUAAAGUAGUACUUUGGCAUUAAUUUGUUGAGCUUAUAUGCAAACAUAAUAAACAUUAUUAAAUAUCAGGAAAGCUAACAUUUCACACGAGAUCGCUUCAGACCAAAUUCAAUUUGAAUUUGAAUAAAUUAGAAGUACUGAGCGUACGUAACCUUCUUGUGCACCUUGAGUAUUGCAAAGUUGCUCCUUGGUUGUUGGUUUUUUUUGUUGUUUCUUUUCGUCCUGUCUGAAAGGCAAAGCAAAACAGCAGCACGGUGCUCUGGGAAAUGCUGUUCCCCCUUCUGUCCUCACACCCACAGAUUGAAGGGAAAGAACUGUCUAAGCAUCUAUCUGCUGGUUUGAAGAAUGAUGAAGCCGUUUUAGUUAAGGGCCAGACACUAGUGCUGAAAGAAAAGACUAUACAGCCAGUGUUCUUCUGUCUUCCAUAGUUAUCACAACUAUGAGAGCCUCUUAGGUCAUCAUUUUGAAAUGUUGACACCCAAGUGUACCCAGAGUGGAAGGCACACUAGCUCUGCAGAGGACAAGCAUUAAUGCAGGUGAUUCCUCCCGCUGACUGGAGUGCAGUCUCAGUGUGAACCCGCCCUCAGCAGGAAAUGGGAAUCCACUUGCUGUUCCUGGAGAGUGCCUUGCUUUUGUUUCAAAUGGCCGAGUCUCCCAAGCCCUUCUCCUCUAACAGCAUUGCUUUUUAGUAAGUGUGUGUUAACCUGUGGUUUGAAAGAAAUGCUCUUGUACAUUAACAAUGUAAAUUUAAAUGAUUAAAUUAAAUUACAUUUUACCAAUG
This 2165-nucleotide long non-coding RNA is filed under the name Mus musculus (house mouse). Its description in RNAcentral is "long non-coding RNA chr4:48084280-48086445". Lineage: Eukaryota; Metazoa; Chordata; Mammalia; Rodentia; Muridae. The record is from RNAcentral.